Molecule: unclassified non-coding RNA, 240 nt
Filed under: soil metagenome
Description: partial contains 5.8S ribosomal RNA, internal transcribed spacer 2, and large subunit ribosomal RNA
Source: RNAcentral
AACACUGUUAACCUGCGGUACCUGCGGAAGGAUCACUACAGAGUUGCAAAACUCCCUAAACCAUUGUGAACGUUACCUAAACCGUUGCUUCGGCGGGCGGCCCGGGUCCUUCCCGGCGCCCCUCGGCCCUCGCGGGCGCCCGCCGGAGGUAAACCAAACUAUUGCAUUGUAUGGCCUCUCUGAGUCUUCUGUACUGAAUAAGUCAAAACUUUUAACAACGGAUCUCAGAUCGGAAGAGCA